CAUCAUAAAACUUUGUUAGUUAGAAGUACCUAAUAGUGUUUAUGAUUGAUUUUUGCUUCAAACAAGAAUACAAUUUGACAUUAUGCUGUAUUUCUGUGGUUUCAUGGGAAAAGAAAUGUAAAAACAUUAUUUCAAGGAUUUUACAGAUGAACCAACACAUCAUAGAGUAAGGAGUAAAGUGGUAUUAGACAUUAUUGUAGACAACUUGACAUAGAGUAAAGAAUAAAUAUAAACAAUCCUAGGUAUAUAAUUAGGUACCUACAGAACUACAGGAAAAGGUUAUUUCGUAUAAAAAAAGUAAUAGACGAGUUUUCUUAUUCAAAAUGUUCCGCUUACCACUUGGCGAAAGGGUUGAUCCCUUAGAAGAAAAACGUCAAGCAAGGGAAAAUACAAUCAACAGCGUUCUGACAUUUUGUGUGCUUUGUGCUGCUAUAAGACUCGCGCCAGUUAUCAUCGAAUAUAGUGGAUUUUAGUUUAAGAAGAACUGCCGUGUAGUGUAAUACUAAUUUAUUGUUUUUAAUUAUAAAAUGUCAUCUGCUGGUUGUUUAGUUGCAAACUUCAGAAUGUGAAAGUGCUUAUGAGAACUUCAAGAAUAAAAUGAAUGCUAACUGAAAAUGUAAAUAAAUAAUUUCUAUUGUAAAUGUAGUUUAACUUUGAAUUAUAGUUAUAUAGUAUGGAUCUUGAGCGCUGACCUUCAAUCUCGCAAAAAAAAAUAAUGAGUCCCUUUGAUGUUAAGAAAUGGCCAGUUCUUAUUAGCCAGCCUUAACAUUUGGAUGAGUGUCUGUAGGAAUGGAAAAAAAGAAAAAAAUAAUAAUUAAAAGCAAAUGCUUUCUAAGGGACAAUAUUAGUUUUCAAAAAUACAUACAAGUAUAGUUUCUAAAAAUUAGGAAAAAAUAUUUAAUUCCUAAGAAUAUCUUCUUUAUUUAUAAAUAAGUUGUUACGAAACUAAUCGGAAUUUUUAUUUUUGUACAAAAUGAAGAACAUUAGUUUUGUAUAGUAUCAAGGAAGACUGCACUAUUUCAAUUAAAAAACAAUCUGCUGCAAAA
This 1046-nucleotide unclassified non-coding RNA is filed under the name Melitaea cinxia (Glanville fritillary). RNAcentral's name for it is "misc RNA ENSMCXG00005006169.1". Lineage: Eukaryota; Metazoa; Arthropoda; Insecta; Lepidoptera; Nymphalidae. The record is from RNAcentral.